This is a long non-coding RNA of Mirounga angustirostris (Northern elephant seal), 580 nucleotides long. RefSeq lists it as uncharacterized. The transcript has 5 exons. Lineage: Eukaryota; Metazoa; Chordata; Mammalia; Carnivora; Phocidae. The record is from RefSeq and is a predicted model, not a curated record.
ACUGCCAGGCACAGGCCCGGCGCGGGUCCCCCUUGAGGCCCGUGUGCACUCGGGGACUGCACGUGAGGCCACCCGAAGGGCACGUCCUGGUGGAAAUUUCGUAUUUACAGCAGUGACCCUCAACCGCUCCGUCAGCCAGACAUCCCUCUGGCAUCUCACCCAUCCUGCUCCGUCCAGGACUGAUGCUGCCCGAGCCCUCAUUUGGGGGCUUACUGGUUCGUGUUACUGGAGCACAUCCCUCCAUCGCUUUUUGAGAACAAGGUUCUGGAGGUUGACCAGAAGCAUACAGCACGACGCCCGGCCCCUUCGGAUGACAGCCGCAGCAGAUCUCAAUCCAGCAGCCGAAGAACAUUUUGGUAAAGGGCGAGAAUAAAUGCUUGAGGCUUUGCAAGCUUACAGUCUCUGCGCUUCUACUGCUCAGCAGCGGAGACAGUGUGUGAAUGGAUAAACUCAACAACAGAAUUGAGGGGACAGGAAAUAACCAGUGACUAGAAGAGAGAACACUGAAAUUAUAUAAUCUGAAGAGCCGAAAGAUUUCUAAAACUACACCUUCAGAAAACUGUGUGAACCCAGAGCGGCA